GAGACGUUAACAUAAGAAGACAAGCCUCUCUAUGAUGAAAUCUAAAUUAUAAGAGUUACUCGGUAUAUAUUAUUUCAAGAAAAAAGACGCAGGAAGAGUAGGAUUUAGAAAGAAAAGAAAACAAUAUUUUUCUUUUGGAGAGAAAAGAAAAGGGAAAGUGGCAGAAGCUGUAACAUUGAGGAGGGGGAGACGUUAACCCAGUGCCAUUGACGGCAUGGAAUUACAGCACGGCAAGAAAACCUCGGCAUGCGGGCUGUCAGUAACGUGUUUUUCAAAUGCCCAGCAUUCUUGGUCGCCGCGGCGCCGCUGUUUGCGGCCAAUUCACGUUCGCAAUUUCACAUGAAUGCAAUUUAUUACUGUCUUCCUAUAGAAUGAUUGACAGGAGUGUAUACAAGUAUGAAUGCGACCACAUUUUGCAAUUGUACUAAGGUAUUUCAAACAGUUUCACCCAAAAUUUCUUCUCUAACAAAAUUGAUAUCAAUUAAUUUACUUUUUUUAAAGCUUUAAUGCAUUCAUCGAUCAAAUCGACUUCUGAACCAUCAAAAAAAGUUUGAAUAUUUUUGUUUGAUAGAUAAAGAAUUUUCUCAUUUUCAUAUGAUAAAAUUCCUUGUAUAAACAAGUAAAAAUACCUUUUGUAGAUGCUUAGAGGUCUAUGGGCAGUUUAGAUGGAAUGGCGGAUGAGGUGAAGAUGUCUUUAACUUAUACCAUUACUAAAUAGAGUACAGCAAUGAUAGAGAUAGAUCAACACGUGUAAGGAGAAAGAAGCAUUGUGUAAAGACAGAUGUACACGUAGCAACAACCAUUAGAGAGAUAAACCAAGUGACUAACAAGCCAUGAGUGAUGGCGAAUAGUAAAAUUGAGCAGUAGUAGUGAGAUAGUGCCGCAGAAGAAUUGUGAUUUAGUUUAGAGAG
This 911-nucleotide long non-coding RNA is filed under the name Ricinus communis (castor bean). RNAcentral's name for it is "long non-coding RNA (RCOM_LNC000124)". The record is from RNAcentral. Lineage: Eukaryota; Viridiplantae; Streptophyta; Magnoliopsida; Malpighiales; Euphorbiaceae.